This is a long non-coding RNA of Onychostoma macrolepis, 583 nucleotides long. RefSeq lists it as uncharacterized. The record is from RefSeq and is a predicted model, not a curated record. NCBI's taxonomy places the organism in Eukaryota, Metazoa, Chordata, Actinopteri, Cypriniformes, Cyprinidae. The transcript is spliced from 8 exons.
CAACAGGCGAUUUUCACAUUGAGAAUGUUUUCAGUUGUAUAGCUGUAAUUCCUGAUGCACGGAAAGAAGAAUUAGACCAGUUGACUACAUGACAGCCCAAAAGCUUAUGAGAAAAGCUCAAAACACCUCAUGCACUGGGAAAAGGCAAACCAGCCUUUUGGAGUCAGAUAGUGACAUCACAGAUAUUGAAGACAGUAAUGUCAAUGCCAUGCCACCAGCAAAAAUACCAACCCUGCCCUCUCCACCAAAAACAAUGGAGACAAGAAGGAACUUAUCUAAAACACCUGAGCCACCAAGGACAUGUGGGGUCUUGAAAGAUUGCCAAGAGCUGGAUUUAGUGAGAUGCCAGGGGGCUACAGAGCAGCUAUACAGAUAGCACCCAUUCUAUGAUGCCACGACAUUUAGAUUUCCGCAACACACCAAACUGGGAUGUCCAGAGAGAAGGACAUAGGGUUAUGGCACAUCAAUUCGAAGAAAUGCCUCAGAGGAUGAUUUAAGGAAAACAUAACCAAGUUCAAGACUCAGGAAAGAAGCAACUAAAUAACAUAAACAACAAAACGAAAGUAACCGGCAGCCACCUCAG